Long non-coding RNA from Prosopis cineraria, 3095 nucleotides. RefSeq lists it as uncharacterized. Lineage: Eukaryota; Viridiplantae; Streptophyta; Magnoliopsida; Fabales; Fabaceae. The record is from RefSeq and is a predicted model, not a curated record. The transcript is spliced from 2 exons.
GAUUUUUGCUCUCUCCCGCGUCUUCUCCGAGCGUGCCGUAGACAUCCUCACUGAGGCCGUUGCCAUCAUCCCUAUUGUCGAGCUCUAUGCGGAUCGGGCCCAGGCUAACAUCAAACUCAGCAACUACCGACUAUCAAAAUUUCUCGGACGACGGUAGAGAAGCAUCUGUAGCUGUUCACCCUAGCUUCACUGGGAUCUCCACUGCCGACCUCUGGUACGUACCUCCACUCCAGAAGUGGAAUCGGCAAAGAAGAGAUGCAAGUUCGUGAUUGAUAGAAUCCAAGAGUUGCCUGCUUCCACCAAGAUCACUGACUCUUGCCGCGCACCCUCCUCAAAUUAGCUCGCUUCGAGUUCUGUUUCCUCUCUCGCUUCUCUUCUUCUUCUUCGAAUACUACUGCUACUAUUAUUUCUACGCCUCUCAGGUUCAUCUUGUUUCCAUUUGCCUUUCAAAUGUUUCCAUCUGUUUGGCUGCUAAGGGAAUUAGUUCCAGUAUGACUGGUGAAUCUUUUCUCUUUGUUUUCUUCGUGGAUAAGAACAAUUUUAGUGUUCUUCUGUGUUAAAUGAAGAAAGGUUUAAUUUUUUUUUAAUUCACUUAAAAAAUCAUUUUAUGUUAAUUAGAUUAAUUAAGGUUUUCCCUGGAUGAGUGAGACAUUGAAGGAAUGCGUCUUUUCUCUUCUUCUGUGUCCUUGCUGCCUGUAGUAACCAAUGGACAUGUAAAAGACUCAGUUUCUUUGGAGAAUGCUAAGAAAGAUUCUUCGUCAAUCAGGAAUAGUUUUGAAAAAAAUAAAGUAGAUGCUGUUGACAGAUUAAAAAGGAAGGAUUCAGUGUUAACAAAUAAAAACACUGGUAUUCAUUCUGUUGAAAAAUAUCCCAGAAGGUCAGAUCUUAUGGAUGACACUGGGAGAAGCAGAGCAAUAUCAGGACCUUACAACCAUAAGCUAGAAGCCAAUGGUCUUAACAACAAACCUUAUUCAUUGGAGAAGAAGAGGAAGGAAACAGAGUCUACUAGCAUUUUGCUUGCACAUGAUGAUCAAUCUGAAGCACGAGUUUAGGAACUUAAAUACAGGUCUGAUAUGCCUUAACUGUGCCCUUUCUGAACUCUUUCAUCUAACAUGAGUUAGAAUGUUAAAAUUUAAUGGAUAUUUUCUUUUAGUAUGGCCCGGCUAUUCUUAUUUUACAAGUAUAUAUUGAUGAUCUAUCACGUUCUACUUUUGGCUCUUUCUUAAUCCCUAUCAUACAAUCAAUAUUAGCUAUGUUUGAAAUCAGUUAUUCGGUUGAUGCUUAAGAGUUGCAACUAUUACUGUUUGGUUAUUUAUAUUGAUGGGAUUGCCGGAAUAUGAUGUUGAUGGGCACCCAAGUCGAGAGGUAAUAUAAUGAUUUUUUUUUUUUUGGGGUAUACAUAAUGGAUUAGUUUAUUUGUUGCAUCUUUGGCGUUAUGGAUCUGCAAGUACCAAUCUUGAAUUGUCUUAAGUAUCUAUACUUUGUUGUAGAAAUAGGAAACAAAAAAGAAUGUCAUACCUGUAAUUAGUCUUACUUUGGUUACUAUUGAAGUUGGGAAUUUAUGGAAUAUUAUUCUUUAAUUGGAUUUUUAUUUUUAUUUUUAUAUUAACUGUUUGAGUAUGAACUAAUGGUCAUGUUCUUUCUUCACCCUCUUCAGUAUAAAAUUUGGCACGGGUAUAAAUCAUCCGUUUGAAUCUGUGUACACUUCAUUUCUAUUCUUCCUGGAACCAUUCGAAUAUCUUCUUCACCUUCUUUCUAAUGUUUUUCCUAUCUGAUCUUAAUUUUAAAUCAUUAUCAAUCUUUUUUCAUCCUCACCAUUUGUCUCUGGUGUGAGUUGAUUAUUUCAAGGGAGCCUCCUGUGCUAAGUCUAUGAAACCUAAUUAAAUUGUCAGAUUUCCAUAUUGAUUAGAAAUUUAGACCGUAAGUGCAAAAUAUUCACAGGGAAAUUCGCUCCUUCAAACACCAAAGUCAUUCCCUUUCUUGAAGAUACUGAUUUAGAAUGCAGUAGGCAUAAGAGCAACAAGAAAAAUAGGGUAAGAACAAUUUGUUUAGAUUCAUACCAACCAUUUAACUUGAGAAAUGUGAUGAUUUUGCCAACAGCAGCAAUGAAUAACAAUCAUAAAAUUGAAGAUCAAAAAGAUGCUCUGCUGCCUCACUAAAACAAUCCAUCUCUCUGAGUGUAUCCUCAAACGAGGAAGAUGAACUUAGUUUUAUGUUUAACUUGGUACUAGACAAUCUUUUCUGCAUGACAUGUAUGUACAGUGUAAUUCUAUUUUUUUCUUUGUGCCAUAUAAUAAAAAUUGCAUACAAGCUAAAUACCUGUUAUAGAUGCUGAUUUUUUCCUUUUUUUCUUCUAAUCCUUGCAAAUGUUUAAAAAAAGGAUGAUGGGUGCAAGUAAUGUAACUUUCUUAUUUUGAAGGUUACUAAAGGUUUGUUCUUUCUUUUUAUAAAGUAUUUGCCAUUUAUCACUCCUAUUUUUUUUUUCUUUUUUAUUUUAGAUGGCGAUUGAUAGUACAUGUUCUCUGGAAGUGUUUGGGGCAGUGGAUAUGAAGGUUCAGAUAAUGUGAUUACUGAUGAGAUAGAGCUCCAGCAACAUCAGAAACUUGAGAAGCUCUACAUAUCAACAUGAGCGGGAAAGGUUACUAGGUCCUCUUAUGCCAGUUCUUUAUUCUUAUAAACCUUUUACCAAUGGGUCGCCUCAAUUGAUUGUUGAUGACAUGAGUUGUUUUUGCUCAACAUUAUCAAAGGGAUAUUGUCCGCGUGGUAGAAGCUUAUAUUGCUACUGGAUUGAAGCAAGUUGAAAUAGGAAGUUAAGCUCAAGGGGAAAAAGAGUUUAGCAGGACUUUACCGUCUUCUGGCUGAUGUGAUAAGUAGGCACGUAAGCCACUAAGUGCAGCAGCGUGGAGACAUCUUUUUGGUUUUUUUAUUUCAACAAAGUGCAAUUGAGCAGCUUUAGCUGCGUAUGUUUCAUUUUAGUCUUCUUUUUUACUUUCAUCUGAAUCAAGUAGGUUCUGGUAGUUCAUGGAAUUCAUUUUCAAGGAUCUUCCACUCUUUAAACUUAUUCAAUAAAAUAAAAUGAUAACUGGUCUUAUUUC